GUAGGGAAUAUUGGGCAAUGGAGGCAACUCUGACCCAGCCAUGCCGCGUGCAGGAUGACGGCCCUCUGGGUUGUAAACUGCUUUUAUACGGGAAGAAAAAUACUACGUGUAGUAUACUGACGGUACCGUAAGAAUAAGGAUCGGCUAACUCCGUGCCAGCAGCCGCGGUAAUACGGAGGAUCCAAGCGUUGUCCGGAUUUAUUGGGUUUAAAGGGUGCGUAGGCGGAUCUUUAAGUCAGUGGUGAAAGCCUGCAGCUUAACUGUAGAAUUGCCAUUGAAACUGAAGAUCUUGAAUGUGGUUAAAGUAGGCGGAAUGUAUCAUGUAGCGGUGAAAUGCUUAGAUAUGAUACAGAACACCGAUAGCGAAGGCAGCUUGCUGAACCAUUAUUGACGCUGAGGCACGAAAGCGUGGGGAGCGAACAGGAUUAGAUACCCUGGUAGUCC
RNAcentral lists this ribosomal RNA (444 nucleotides) under uncultured bacterium. Its description in RNAcentral is "partial 16S ribosomal RNA". It matches the Rfam family "Bacterial small subunit ribosomal RNA", at positions 354 to 796 of the family's 1533-position model. The record is from RNAcentral.